UAGCAUAUUCAUUUGACGUUAGCUGCAGAAGAAGCACCGGCUAACUCCGUGCCAGCAGCCGCGGUAAGUACGGAGGGUGCGAGUCGUUAAUCGGUAAUUACGUGGGUACGUAAAGCGCAUGCAGGUGGUUUGUUAAGUCAGAUGUAGAAAGCCCGGGGCUCAACCUCGGAAUUGCUAUUUAGAAACUGGACAAACUAGAGUACUGUAGAGGGGGUAGAAUUUCAGGUGUAGCGGUGAAAUGCGUAGAGAUCUGAAGGAAUACCGGUGGCGAAGGCGGCCCCCUGGACAGAUACUGACACUCAGAUGCGAAAGCGUGGGGAGCAAACAGGAUUAGAUACCCUGGCAG
RNAcentral lists this ribosomal RNA (346 nucleotides) under uncultured bacterium. RNAcentral describes it as "bacterial SSU rRNA". It matches the Rfam family "Bacterial small subunit ribosomal RNA", at positions 457 to 793 of the family's 1533-position model. The record is from RNAcentral.